CNUGCAGUCGANCGAUGAAGCCCUUCGGGNUGGAUUAGUGGCGAACGGGUGAGUANCACGUGGGCAAUCUGCCCUUCACUCUGGGACAAGCCCUGGAAACGGGGUCUAAUACCGGAUAACACCUGCCCGGGCAUCUGGGUGGGUUAAAAGCUCCGGCGGUGAAGGAUGAGCCCGCGGCCUAUCAGCUUGUUGGUGAGGUAGUGGCUCACCAAGGCGACGACGGGUAGCCGGCCUGAGAGGGCGACCGGCCACACUGGGACUGAGACACGGCCCAGACUCNUACGGGAGGCAGCAGUGGGGAAUAUUGCACAAUGGGCGAAAGCCUGAUGCAGCGACGCCGCGUGAGGGAUGACGGCCUUCGGGUUGUAAACCUCUUUCAGCAGGGAAGAAGCGAAAGUGACGGUACCUGCAGAAGAAGCGCCGGCUAACUACGUGCCAGCAGCCGCGGUAAUACGUAGGGCGCAAGCGUUGUCCGGAAUUAUUGGGCGUAAAGAGCUCGUAGGCGGCUUGUCACGUCGGGUGUGAAAGCCCGGGGCUUAACCCCGGGUCUGCAUUCGAUACGGGCUAGCUAGAGUGUGGUAGGGGAGAUCGGAAUUCCUGGUGUAGCGGUGAAAUGCGCAGAUAUCAGGAGGAACACCGGUGGCGAAGGCGGAUCUCUGGGCCAUUACUGACGCUGAGGAGCGAAAGCGUGGGGAGCGAACAGGAUUAGAUACCCUGGUAGUCCACGCCGUAANCGGUGGGAACUAGGUGUUGGCGACAUUCCACGUCGUCGGUGCCGCAGCUAACGCAUUAAGUUCCCCGCCUGGGGAGUACGGCCGCAAGGCUAAANCUCAAAGGAAUUGACGGGGGGCCCGCACAAGCAGCGGAGCAUGUGGCUUAAUUCGACGCAACGCGANNAACCUUACCAAGGCUUGACAUACACCNNAAACGGCCNGANAUGGUCNCCCCCNUUG
This 953-nucleotide ribosomal RNA is filed under the name Streptomyces sp. RNAcentral's name for it is "bacterial SSU rRNA". It matches the Rfam family "Bacterial small subunit ribosomal RNA", at positions 54 to 1021 of the family's 1533-position model. The record is from RNAcentral. Lineage: Bacteria; Bacillati; Actinomycetota; Actinomycetes; Kitasatosporales; Streptomycetaceae.